Molecule: ribosomal RNA, 467 nt
Filed under: uncultured bacterium
Lineage: Bacteria
Description: partial 16S ribosomal RNA
Rfam family: Bacterial small subunit ribosomal RNA
Source: RNAcentral
GACGAACGCUGGCGGCGUGCUUAACACAUGCAAGUCGAACGGAAAGGCCCUGCUUUUGUGGGGUGCUCGAGUGGCGAACGGGUGAGUAACACGUGAGUAACCUGCCCUUGACUUUGGGAUAACUUCAGGAAACUGGGGCUAAUACCGGAUAGGAGCUCCUGCUGCAUGGUGGGGGUUGGAAAGUUUCGGCGGUUGGGGAUGGACUCGCGGCUUAUCAGCUUGUUGGUGGGGUAGUGGCUUACCAAGGCUUUGACGGGUAGCCGGCCUGAGAGGGUGACCGGCCACAUUGGGACUGAGAGACGGCCCAGACUCCUACGGGAGGCAGCAGUGGGGAAUAUUGCACAAUGGGCGGAAGCCUGAUGCAGCAACGCCGCGUGCGGGAUGAAGGCCUUCGGGUGGUAAACCGCUUUCGCCUGUGACGAAGCGUGAGUGACGGUAAUGGGUAAAGAAGCACCGGCUAACUACGU